UGACCUUCCUGGUCCAGGGUAUAGGUU
RNAcentral lists this small RNA (27 nucleotides) under Bombyx mori (domestic silkworm). RNAcentral describes it as "ovarian small RNA-31664". Lineage: Eukaryota; Metazoa; Arthropoda; Insecta; Lepidoptera; Bombycidae. The record is from RNAcentral.